This is a non-coding RNA of Colletotrichum fioriniae, 74 nucleotides long. Lineage: Eukaryota; Fungi; Ascomycota; Sordariomycetes; Glomerellales; Glomerellaceae. The record is from the annotation of a RefSeq genome assembly.
CCCUCUAUGGCCCAGUUGGCUAAGGCGUCCGACUGUGAAUCGGGAGACCCCUGGUUUGAGCUCAGGUGGAGGAG